This is an RNA transcript of Pocillopora verrucosa, 1608 nucleotides long. It is a transcript of the gene named arpin-like, with no coding region annotated. The record is from RefSeq and is a predicted model, not a curated record. Lineage: Eukaryota; Metazoa; Cnidaria; Anthozoa; Scleractinia; Pocilloporidae.
ACCUUGAAAUUUAUAUUGCAUUAGAAAUUUCCGACAUUAGAAUGACUCGUGCACAUAUGCUCUACGACAACAGACCGUUGGAAUCGAUUCCUGUUACUCCAAUUAGAUGGGAAAAACGUUGGGAACCGGAAGAGUUAUUUCGCUGGCAAAGGACUGGCGGCAUUAUAGUAGAGGGUAAAGUAUAUGGCCGACUAAGAUUUACCGUAUCAGAUCCCUUCUCGGGUUCUCAGAAGUGGCGCUAUGUAGUGCUACAUAUAGAGAUCUCAAAAGCCCUGAAGAGGAAGUUUGAUUCCCUCACCGGGAAGGAAAUUGACCCUAACUAUGGAAAGGACAAGAAAGUUAGCACUGGUUAUCUAAUGUCUUCUUACAAGACAUCUGCUUCCACAGAUUCUGAUAAAAUUGAUGCAGCUGAGGCAAAAAGAAUGAUAACAGUGACAGAGUUGACCAGACUGACAGAAAACAAACUUCCAGAGACUGGAAAUGUGAUCAGUCAAGCAUUCUGGUGUGCAGAGGAAGACAUUGAGAAAAUGGAACUACUUCAAGGGGAUCCCAUCAGAUUAAAGACUAAAGGAGAAGGUCCAUUCAUUGCAUUGUCACACCAAGUCUUUUAUAACCAAACCAAAUUGGUUUACAAUAUGAUAAUGUUACUUAUGACAGAAAUGAAAGUAUUCUCAAUUCUCCUUCCUCGUGACAGAGUUUAUAGUCAAACUCAACAAUGCAGGUAGUGCAACAGCUGCAAAUUACACUGGAGGUGAAGGAGCAGGCAGCUCCUGGACAGACAAGGUGAUGUCUUUCAAAGGACAGCAAGAUGUUCCACAAGAUGAAGGAGAUGGUGCUGAGGAUGAUGAGUGGGAUGACUGAGUAUUACUGAGAUGGAUCAAUGCUACAUUGUAAGUCAUGUUAGCCAUGAUAGGUUACUACAGUUAUUGCAGGUACUGUCAGCUACCUGCUUUUUUUUGCAUCAGAUGAAGAUGUCACAGAGAUGAGGUACUUCAAGAAAACCCUGUUGCAAAUUUGUUUAAAGGGUGUUGAUGGUUGGAUGAAACACCAAGAAAAUAAACACUAAACUACUAUUUAAACCCUUUUGGAUCGGAUCUAAACCUAAACUUAUCUUGAAAUCCUUCUGAAUGGCUAUGGAACUUGAGAGAACCAUGAAAACACUCUGCUACUGAAUUAUACAACACUUUAAAAUAACUACUAAUUACAGAUGAAGCUAUUUUGGCAAAGAAUGUCACUGGGUCACAUAUGUUAUGCAACAACAACAAAAAUUAUUAUGUAAGUGUCAUUGUUCUAUUUUUUUACAAGUUCUUGAUCACCUUCCUCACAGUCCUUUUUUGUAAUCAAAGUCUUUUAUACACAUGAUGAUGAAACUAGAUGUAUUUUGAAUUCAUUGGCUGUAUUUUACAGAUUUCUGAUUACAAUUUUUUUUGUCAUCGGAUUUCUUACAUUUAACCCUAAGAAUGGUAAGAAACAAUGUAAUAAGUACAUUGUAUUACUAAGUUAAACAUAACAGGAAAAUGGAAUAAUUGAAAUCCCAUGAAAUGGGUUUGUAAUGACUGAAACAGAGCAAGUGAUAUUGUGUUACAUUUAAUUCAAUAAACACAGUGA